RNAcentral lists this ribosomal RNA (466 nucleotides) under uncultured bacterium. RNAcentral describes it as "partial 16S ribosomal RNA". It matches the Rfam family "Bacterial small subunit ribosomal RNA", at positions 28 to 505 of the family's 1533-position model. The record is from RNAcentral.
GACGAACGCUGGCGGCGCGCUUAACACAUGCAAGUCGAACGGAAAGGCCCUGCUUUUGUGGGGUGCUCGAGUGGCGAACGGGUGAGUAACACGUGAGUAACCUGCCCUUGACUUUGGGAUAACUUCAGGAAACUGGGGCUAAUACCGGAUAGGAGCUCCUGCUGCAUGGUGGGGGUUGGAAAGUUUCGGCGGUUGGGGAUGGACUCGCGGCUUAUCAGCUUGUUGGUGGGGUAGUGGCUUACCAAGGCUUUGACGGGUAGCCGGCCUGAGAGGGUGACCGGCCACAUUGGGACUGAGAUACGGCCCAGACUCCUACGGGAGGCAGCAGUGGGGAAUAGUGCACAAUGGGCGGAAGCCUGAUGCAGCAACGCCGCGUGCGGGAUGACGGCCUUCGGGUUGUAAACCGCUUUCGCCUGUGACGAAGCGUGAGUGACGGUAAUGGGUAAAGAAGCACCGGCUAACUACG